AGAGUUUGAUCCUGGCUCAGAUUGAACGCUGGCGGCAGGCCUAACACAUGCAAGUCGAACGGUAACAGGAAUCAGCUUGCUGAUUUGCUGACGAGUGGCGGACGGGUGAGUAAUGUCUGGGAAACUGCCUGAUGGAGGGGGAUAACUACUGGAAACGGUAGCUAAUACCGCAUAAUGUCGCAAGACCAAAGAAGGGGACCUUCGGGCCUCUUGCCAUCGGAUGUGCCCAGAUGGGAUUAGCUAGUAGGUGGGGUAACGGCUCACCUAGGCGACGAUCCCUAGCUGGUCUGAGAGGAUGACCAGCCACACUGGAACUGAGACACGGUCCAGACUCCUACGGGAGGCAGCAGUGGGGAAUAUUGCACAAUGGGCGCAAGCCUGAUGCAGCCAUGCCGCGUGUAUGAAGAAGGCCUUCGGGUUGUAAAGUACUUUCAGCGGGGAGGAAGGGAGUAAAGUUAAUACCUUUGCUCAUUGACGUUACCCGCAGAAGAAGCACCGCCGG
RNAcentral lists this ribosomal RNA (502 nucleotides) under uncultured bacterium. RNAcentral's name for it is "bacterial SSU rRNA". It matches the Rfam family "Bacterial small subunit ribosomal RNA", at positions 8 to 499 of the family's 1533-position model. The record is from RNAcentral.